This 493-nucleotide ribosomal RNA is filed under the name Armatobalanus allium. RNAcentral describes it as "partial 12S small subunit ribosomal RNA". The record is from RNAcentral. Lineage: Eukaryota; Metazoa; Arthropoda; Thecostraca; Balanomorpha; Balanidae.
UAUGUUUAUAGUGAAUAAAUAUAGGAAUUUUUUAAUAUUAUUAAGUAGAAUUUUAAUUUUAAAGAAUUACAAAUAUUUAUAAACAUAAAAGUUAUAACCGGGACCAGGAUUAGAUACCCUGUUACUUAUAAGUAAAAUAUUUUGGAAUAGUAGUUAUUAUGAAAUUUAACGGAUUUGGCGGCAAGAUAGCCAUUUAGAGGAACCUGCCCUAUAAACGAUGAUCCACGAUUUUACUCUACUUUUAUUUGUAGCCAGUUUGUAUACCGCUGUUGUCAGUCAGUUUCUUCAGAAAACUUUCAUUCAUGAUUAGUAUCAUUGACUUCAAGUAAAGGUGCAGCUUAUAUAAAAGACAGAGGUGGGUUACAUUUAAUAGACUAAAACGGAUAAAGUUUAUGAAAAUAACUUUUGAAGGUGGAUUUAAUUGUAAAGUUUAUAAAAACUUGAUGUGAGCUCUAUCUUGUGUACACACCGCCCGUCGCUCUCUUUUUUAAAC